GCUUGAGUUAGCUGGAACUCAGGUGAGCAUAUAACCAGCUAAUGGCAACAACAAUUUUUUCUUCCUUGCCCCUAGAUUAUUAAAGAUAAUAUUUGUGUCUUUACAAGUACCCUUCUUACCCUAGGUUUUUGAAGAUAAUAUUUAUGUCUUUACAACUGCCCUUCUUAUAAUUACAAGUGAAAAGCAGGAUGUCAGUGUUUCAGAUAACAGUUUGUUUUUGAUACUCCUUUUUCUAUUGUUCCAACAAUUUGACUGGAAUGAUUUCAAAUAACUUUUCAAAGACCUCAACUUAGUCCAUUAUAGUUGUUGCAUAAGAAUACAGUCUUGGAGAAUCCAAGUUCUUUCUAAAGUACCCAAAAUAUAAUAUAAUGUCUACUUGAAAGCAUACAACUCUCUAUAGUGAAUUCAUGUAAAUUUAUAUGAUCUUCUCAUCCAUCAGAUCUUUUUGUAUCAUACGUUUGAUUACUGAGAUGCAUAGUCUUUUAUGCAGCUUUAUUAUUCUGUUGUGUAGAUAGUUCACCCAGUGGAAAAAUGUUCAGAGUGUAAAUCUACUCAUGAUGAAUUUAUGCUAGUAAAUUGUUAUUCACAAUUGGCUAUCUGGGAAUCCCACAAAGACCAAUUUCUUGAUUUCUCUCAAAAUUUUAUCUCCUUUUUCUCUCAAAUUUGGCAAGUAUUCAACCUUCAAGUGGACCUUUCAAUGCAUUCUGGUUACUUUGACUCAUUUGAUUGACUGAAUUAACG
This 741-nucleotide unclassified non-coding RNA is filed under the name Hevea brasiliensis (rubber tree). Lineage: Eukaryota; Viridiplantae; Streptophyta; Magnoliopsida; Malpighiales; Euphorbiaceae. The record is from RNAcentral.